RNAcentral lists this ribosomal RNA (497 nucleotides) under uncultured bacterium. RNAcentral's name for it is "partial 16S ribosomal RNA". It matches the Rfam family "Bacterial small subunit ribosomal RNA", at positions 28 to 507 of the family's 1533-position model. The record is from RNAcentral.
GAUGAACGCUGGCGGCGUGCCUAAUACAUGCAAGUCGAGCGAACAGACGAGGAGCUUGCUCCUCUGACGUUAGCGGCGGACGGGUGAGUAACACGUGGAUAACCUACCUAUAAGACUGGGAUAACUUCGGGAAACCGGAGCUAAUACCGGAUAAUAUAUUGAACCGCAUGGUUCAAUAGUGGAAGACGGUUUUGCUGUCACUUAUAGAUGGAUCCGCGCCGCAUUAGCUAAUUGGUAAGGUAACGGCUUACCAAGGCAACGAUGCGUAGCCGACCUGAGAGGGUGAUCGGCCACACUGGAACUGAGACACGGUCCAGACUCCUACGGGAGGCAGCAGUAGGGAAUCUUCCGCAAUGGGCGAAAGCCUGACGGAGCAACGCCGCGUGAGUGAUGAAGGUCUUCGGAUCGUAAAACUCUGUUAUUAGGGAAGAACAAAUGUGUAAGUAACUAUGCACGUCUUGACGGUACCUAAUCAGAAAGCCACGGCUAACUACGUG